CUUGUGAAACUAGACAUAGCCAAGGCCUUUGGCAGUGUCUCGUGGGAGUAUCUUCCCGAGCUGAUCCAGCGGCUGGGCUUCAGUGCGCGUUGGAGGAAUUGGAUCACGGCUCUGCUGUCAACCUCCUCCUCGGCCUGCCUGCUGAAUGGAAUCCCUGGCGAGAUCAUCUUUCACCGAUGUGGGCUGCAGCAGAAGGACCCCCUCUCCCCU
Molecule: ribosomal RNA, 210 nt
Filed under: Triticum aestivum (bread wheat)
Lineage: Eukaryota; Viridiplantae; Streptophyta; Magnoliopsida; Poales; Poaceae
Description: partial small subunit ribosomal RNA
Source: RNAcentral